ACAAGGGUAGCAGUCGUGGACGUU
Molecule: non-coding RNA, 24 nt
Filed under: Cricetulus griseus (Chinese hamster)
Lineage: Eukaryota; Metazoa; Chordata; Mammalia; Rodentia; Cricetidae
Source: RNAcentral